Molecule: ribosomal RNA, 218 nt
Filed under: Psychrobacillus psychrotolerans
Lineage: Bacteria; Bacillati; Bacillota; Bacilli; Caryophanales; Bacillaceae
Description: partial 16S rRNA. Bacterial SSU
Rfam family: Bacterial small subunit ribosomal RNA
Source: RNAcentral
CUAUUAUGGAGAGUUUGAUCCUGGCUCAGGACGAACGCUGGCGGCAUGCCUAAUACAUGCAAGUCGAGCGAAUGACGAAGAAGCUUGCUUCUUCUGAUUUAGCGGCGGACGGGUGAGUAACACGUGGGCAACCUGCCCUGUAGAUUGGGAUAACUCCGGGAAACCGGGGCUAAUACCGAAUAAUCCAUUUCCUCACAUGGGGAGAUGUUAAAAGACGG